Molecule: ribosomal RNA, 496 nt
Filed under: uncultured bacterium
Lineage: Bacteria
Description: partial 16S ribosomal RNA
Rfam family: Bacterial small subunit ribosomal RNA
Source: RNAcentral
GAUGAACGCUGGCGGCGUGCCUAAUACAUGCAAGUCGAGCGAACGGACGAGAAGCUUGCUUCUCUGAUGUUAGCGGCGGACGGGUGAGUAACACGUGGAUAACCUACCUAUAAGACUGGGAUAACUUCGGGAAACCGGAGCUAAUACCGGAUAAUAUUUUGAACCGCAUGGUUCAAAAGUGAAAGACGGUCUUGCUGUCACUUAUAGAUGGAUCCGCGCUGCAUUAGCUAGUUGGUAAGGUAACGGCUUACCAAGGCAACGAUGCAUAGCCGACCUGAGAGGGUGAUCGGCCACACUGGAGCUGAGACACGGUCCAGACUCCUACGGGAGGCAGCAGUAGGGAAUCUUCCGCAAUGGGCGAAAGCCUGACGGAGCAACGCCCGUGAGUGAUGAAGGUCUUCGGAUCGUAAAACUCUGUUAUUAGGGAAGAACAUAUGUGUAAGUAACUGUGCACAUCUUGACGGUACCUAAUCAGAAAGCCACGGCUAACUACGUG